Molecule: long non-coding RNA, 2999 nt
Organism: Rhineura floridana
Lineage: Eukaryota; Metazoa; Chordata; Lepidosauria; Squamata; Rhineuridae
Exons: 4
Source: RefSeq, a predicted model, not a curated record
GGUGCGGCCGCAUUUGGAAUACUGUGUACAGUUCUGGUCGCCUCAUCUCAAAAAGGAUAUUAUAGAGUUGGAAAAGGUUCAGAAGAGGGGAACCAGAAGGAUCAGGGGGAUGAAGCGACUCCCUUACGAGGAAAGGUUGCAGCAUUUGGGGCUUUUUAGUUUAGAGAAAAGGCGGGUCAGAGGAGACAUGAUAGAAGUGUAUAAAAUUAUGCAUGGCAUUGAGAAAGUGGAUAGAGAAAAGUUCUUCUCCCUCUCUCAUAAUACUAGAACUCGUGGACAUUCAAAGAAGCUGAAUGUUGGAAGAUUCAGGACAGACAAAAGGAAGUACUUCUUUACUCAGCGCAUGGUUAAACUAUGGAAUUUGCUCCCACAAGAUGCAGUAACGGCCACCAGCUUGGAUGGCUUUAAAAGAAGUUUAGACAAAUUCAUGGAGGACAGGGCUAUCAAUGGCUACUAGCAGUGAUGGCUGUGCUCUGCCACCCUAGUCAGAGGCAGCAUGCUUCUGAAAACCAGUUGCCGGAAGCCUCAGGAGGGGAGAGUGUUCUUGCACUCUGGUCCUGCUUGCGGGCUUCCCCCAGGCACCUGGUUGGCCACUGUGAGAACAGGAUGCUGGACUAGAUGGGCCACUGGCCUGAUCCAGCAGGCUCUUCUUAUGUUCUUAUGUUGAUUGAUUGAUUUUCCGGUGGCUGGGACUGAAUCGGAGUGCCAUGACUCCUUUCUACUCUAUUUGUCGAUGGUCACUUGGCCUUAUUCCUAACAUGUUUUGUUCCUAACACAUUUGUUGUACGGAUGAGUGUUCUCUUUUUCGUGGCCUAUGUUUGAUCCUUGAGUUUUCUGUUGAGGCUGAUCUCUAAAGCUUUUCCAAGAAAUGAAACUAAGCCUCAACGAGAGGGGAGGAGCAAAAGUAUUUGCUGAAGCAUUUCCUCUCUCUGAGCUGUAGGGGGAGCUGCACUACCCACUUGGAGACCUCUCGUCAUCGAUGAAGAAACACCGUUUAUGUGAGCAGUCACUUCUGUUACUGCCAUGCUUUGCCUGGUGGCUUUUUGUGACAUGACAUCUCUUUGAAGAGGAGGGGAGAUUUUGGCCUUUCUACAUCUAUAAGUGCAGUGAGAUUGAGCUGCAGCAAGGCAGAGCCUGGAGUCAAACUCUGGGCCGGAAGCCACAUUUGACCCCAGAAGAAUAAUACAGACAUGGCUUCAGUUGCUCAACCCAAACUGGAGUUUCGUUCGUGCACCAUCUGCUACUAAUACUGACCUUUGAAGACAGGGCUGGAGCACCAAUUUUUCACAAGGUGGAGUUGGCUGCUCCGAGUUCACUGGUAGUGCCCUUUCUUCUAUUGAAUUGUUCUUCUGCAUCCCGAGGUGACUCCAGUCUCAUACCCAGCAGCAGGAGCAAGGAAGCAAGUGCUCCAACUGAGAGGGCCACUGUGACCAUCCAGACACAAGUUGCAAGUAUCAGCAAUGCAAGCAUGAAAACUAGAGCCCAGUUCCAAGCUUAUUUCCCAGCAACUUUGAAAGCAAGAAAAGCUUGGAGUUUGGAGAAGGGAUGGUUGGAAAGGAGCUUGUGUGUGAGUAAAACCUUACUCUAUCCCUCAUGCGGUGCUCUGCUCACACAAUUGUUGGACAGCUUUUCUGUACAUGUGUCUCGAAAUUUUUCCGCCACCCUCUGAAAUUUCUAAAUUGGGUAUGGGAGGCCCCGAUUACUUCAAGCAGUCCAGGGUAAGCUUAAACUAGCUCAUGGGGAUAGUCUGCUGGACCCAUUGAUUGCUUUCUAGGAGCAGUUUGAAUGCAAAGUGGCUUGUAGAUGCAGAGCUCUUGUUUGUGAGGUGUAGUGAAAGAACAUGAAGGAAGGCUGGGCUGUGACACUAAGAGCAUCUCUGCUAAACUUGGCUUGUUGCUACUUCUGCACUACCACCACCAUUCUGGUGUGUAUUUCCUUGGAUGGCCCAUGAAGCUUCGUUGCUAGUAAGCAGGGCUACCCUACGAUAGUUUAGGUGUAGAAAGUCCUGGCUUUUAUAUUUUGCUCCUUCUGUAGAAAACAAACAAACAAGAAUGAUGGCUUAUUGCCAUUUAUCAACACUUACCAGCAGGAAGAGCUAGCUGUAUUUCCAAGAAACAAACAGUGGCAUAUUGCCUCUUGGGGCUCUUUUCCCCUUAGACAGCCCAGUUUAUGUGCUUCGUAUCUUAGGAAAGAAAAUGGCAUUCUAAACAUGACAUUUUGAUCUGAGCUUUUAAAAUGGUGGUGUUUAAGAGAAGGUGUAUGUAUGUAAUUAUGAGGGUGACAUUUCAUAGUUUCAUUCAUGGACAGGGCCAGUAAGAUUAUUUAAUAAAUAAUGCAAGCGUUACAGGACGUAUGCUGCAGUGUCCCCUCUGGCAUUUGCUUUCUCUUUUGUAGACAUUAUAGCUGUCUGUCUAAGUGAUGGGCAGACAUUCCUUAGGUCUAGCUCUGGAGAAAUGGUGUGGUGCCUUUGCCAUAGCCCCCCUCUGUGUGAUCUUCUUCCACAUUAGGUUUGGAAGUGGCAGAGUGCCUGGCUGCACUGCUUUGCAUCCCCUUUCAUGUCCUUCCAGGCCUGGCCCACCCCAAACAAAGGGCUCUGAUGUUAUAGAAACAUAACUUUUAUUGCAUGCUGCGCUGGCUUUUUGUUUUUAUAUAAAAAUGUAUUAACACAGAGGCAGAUGCAACUUGAAGCAAAUCCUAUGGUUUUCCAAACAGUAAAACAACAUGCAGUGUCUCCAAUGAGUCUCUUCAAAACCGUCAGGGUUGUUUGAUAAGGAAAGUUGAGGGGUGGGGAAGAGAUGAGAGAGUACACAGCCAGUCUAUUUCUGUGCUCUCUUCAAGGAUGAUGUGAAACAGUAAAACCUCCAGUGAAAAACAGAUUACCAAAUUGCUUUGCGCCCUUGGCUGGUUCCCCCCCUCCCAGCUUUGGAGAAGAAAAUAGUUUCAUUUAUACAAAAAUGUCCAUUCUAUACAAGAGCUUCUUUUAUUUCAAUAUAAAUAAC